This is a long non-coding RNA of Temnothorax curvispinosus, 1692 nucleotides long. RefSeq lists it as uncharacterized. The record is from RefSeq and is a predicted model, not a curated record. The transcript has 4 exons. Lineage: Eukaryota; Metazoa; Arthropoda; Insecta; Hymenoptera; Formicidae.
AAUUGCUCGUUGAUACUCGACAUAGGCGAAUAACUAAAUAUUUUUAAAUGGUUUAUCGUUUCUGCAGAAACGAUCGUGGAAUUUUGUUAAUAAAAAUUUUUCAACAACAGAAAGAUUUGUAUAAUCUAUCGAUUAAAUAUAAAUAUUAUUGUCAAGAAUGUAAAAAAAUUUGGCUGACUAGACUCAACUUUAUACGCAAUCAAAAGUUCAUAUACGAAAUUUACGAAAACAAAGCUUCCUUUAUGAGGAAGCAAAAGAAGAUACGAGCCUAUCUCUUUUUACUUGCAUCUUUCCUAAUUUGUAUUUAAAUCUGAUGAUUCCUCGCGGAAUGUUUAUAUUCAUUACAUUUUAUGUCUAGUUUUGCGUUACAAUGUCUUUCAAGAUGCGAUCCUGUUUUUUUUUCAACCACGUUUUUUAGCGUAUUAAGAUUAAUACUUCUUGUGCAUAACUAUGUAAAUGUUGUAAUUAAUUAUCUCCAUAUAUAACUUGUUAUUUCUCGAUUGUUGAAUUUCAUUAAUAACCAGUUAUUCAUAACAAAAAGGCUUGAGCGAAAAAAUAUAAAUAUCGGGUCUACGACAGGCAACUUGUAGAGUUAGUUUGCUGGGACCAUAGGAAACAAAUCUGUGAGUCAAGAAAAAAGUUGUAACAACUGAAAAUUAAUAGAAGCUAAAAAGUAAGAAAGAAAAUUCUGACGAAAAGCUCAAAAAGUGAGAUAUCUAAUUGUAAAAAGGAAUUAAGAACAUUAUAUAUCUUUUAGAAGAAAAGAAGAUUGAAAAGAAUGAGAAAAAUAAGAUAUUAAAAGAUAUUUGAGAAAUUCGAUUUCUCGAACCUCUUAUUAUUUCCUGGAACUUGUAAUAUUGCAGAAAAAUGAAAUUCCUCAUAAAGAUAUUGCUGGCAAUUGUAAUAUUGGCGGUUGUAAUUCCACCUGAAACUUGUCAAAGAUGGCGAAAACCCGGGCAUGGUUAUAGUCAUAGUAUUAUAACUGCUCCGCGUAGAAGUUAUAGCUCGCCUUGCCCGAGUGGCCAACGAAGAGAUAGGAACAAUAAAUGUCGCCAAGUCGCUUAAUGUACAGAGAUGUAAGCUGCGGUUUCUAUCGUGUUCGAAUAUGAUCGUGAGAUUCCGCUAAUAACCAGUUUCUUCCACUAUGCCUACCCAAUCGAAGAGAUAUAAAUAACAGAUUCGCAAGAGACAGACUGCAGAGUUUGUUUACUUACUGGAACCAAACGAGCGAAAUAGUAAAAAAAAAACUUGAUAAAAAUUCGAUAAAAUUAAAAAAGAUAAAUAGAGAGAAUUAUUUGAAGAUGAAAUUGCUCGUGAACAUUUUACUGAUAAUCGUGAUAAUAACGGCUAUUGUGAUUUCAUCCGGCACUUGUCAAGAAGAAACAUCGACAAAUAAAACACCGAUGAAUGAAACAUUGUUAGAAGAAACGGAUGACGACAACUUCCGAGACGUAGUUCUACAGAGUUUUAUAGUUGUUCCAGAUAGAAAUAUUAAUGAUUGUUUGGAGGGUCAGAGGAAAGAUCAGCAUGGGAAAUGUCGCGAUGUCAUUUAACACAGGUCAGCUCCAGUGCCAUUAAAGUCGGCAAAGACGGGCGAAGAUGGAAAAAGCAGAAGGGAAGCAUUUUAAAGGAGCGUCUAGAGAAAGAGUGGAAUUAAAUAAAUAAAAUUCUUUUACAGUGUAUGUUACUCUA